RNAcentral lists this transfer RNA (72 nucleotides) under Aedes aegypti (yellow fever mosquito). It matches the Rfam family "tRNA". From Rfam's summary of the family: Transfer RNA (tRNA) molecules are approximately 80 nucleotides in length. The record is from Rfam by way of RNAcentral. Lineage: Eukaryota; Metazoa; Arthropoda; Insecta; Diptera; Culicidae.
GGCUCGGUAGCUUAGUUGGUAAAGCGCUCGUCUAGCAUAUAAUAGUCCUGGGUUCGAGUCCCAUCCGAGUAC